Molecule: long non-coding RNA, 726 nt
Filed under: Setaria viridis
Lineage: Eukaryota; Viridiplantae; Streptophyta; Magnoliopsida; Poales; Poaceae
Description: long non-coding RNA (SVIR_LNC001745)
Source: RNAcentral
GAGGAGAAAACAAGAAAAAGGGCUAGACUCCUUUGUGUUGAGUUGUGGCUUUGGGCCGAGGUUUAAACCUUCUCUCGUAGAAGGUAAGAGCUUUAAGUUUUGAAAAAAUGUCACCCCUCCCCUUUCAUCCUUUCGUGGGAAAAAAUGAACAGGCCGGGGGAAGGUAGACAGUAGGGAUAAGAGUAAAGAAUAUAUAUUGUAUAGGCAUGUAGCACGCUUUAGUACAUAGUACAGCGAGUUUGCCAUUGCGAGGCUCGCCUGGAGCUGUUCACUUUUUUCCUUGUGUGAACACGCGGUUUUUCUUUUGAACUUUGAGUCUCUUCAUCGAGAUGCGAGGCUAUGCAACUUGUUGUUGCACUGAUGCCUCGUAUAGGAAUUCACAGCUUCGCAACUUGUUGUUGCAUUGAGACUUGCAUCAAGGGGGAAACUUCACUUAUAUUAAGUAGUGAAAGUGUUACAUGGAUCUACCUCAUUAAAAACCUUGCCUCCAGAGUGGAGGCCCCUAGCUAGGAAAAGAGUACAGUCCAGACUCGAUAAUGCAAGACUUUAGAAAGGAAAAAGGUAAAAGCGUUACCUUCGGCGUUGUUUAUAACUUUACAAGCUGAGGGUAACGGUGAACACUAUUAUGGGUAAUACUUGCGCAAGCUAUCUAUGUUCCAGGAAUGCGGUAGCUCUGCGCUAAGCUGGUCUGCCUGACAGAACGACCCUGGCCUGUUACUCUUCGUG